This 460-nucleotide ribosomal RNA is filed under the name uncultured bacterium. RNAcentral describes it as "partial 16S ribosomal RNA". It matches the Rfam family "Bacterial small subunit ribosomal RNA", at positions 338 to 795 of the family's 1533-position model. The record is from RNAcentral.
CCUACGGGUGACAGCAGUGAGGAAUAUUGGUCAAUGGACGAGAGUCUGAACCAGCCAAGUAGCGUGAAGGAUGACUGCCCUAUGGGUUGUAAACUUCUUUUAUAUGGGAAUAAAAUGUUCCACGUGUGGGAUUUUGUAUGUACCAUAUGAAUAAGGAUCGGCUAACUCCGUGCCAGCAGCCGCGGUAAUACGGAGGAUCCGAGCGUUAUCCGGAUUUAUUGGGUUUAAAGGGAGCGUAGGUGGAUUGUUAAGUCAGUUGUGAAAGUUUGCGGCUCAACCGUAAAAUUGCAGUUGAAACUGGCAGUCUUGAGUACACUAGAGGUGGGCGGAAUUCGUGGUGUAGCGGUGAAAUGCUUAGAUAUCACGAAGAACUCCGAUUGCGAAGGCAGUUCACUGGACUGCAACUGACACUGAGGCUCGAAAGUGUGGGUAUCAAACAGGAUUAGAUACCCUAGUAGUC